This 468-nucleotide ribosomal RNA is filed under the name uncultured bacterium. Its description in RNAcentral is "partial 16S ribosomal RNA". It matches the Rfam family "Bacterial small subunit ribosomal RNA", at positions 28 to 507 of the family's 1533-position model. The record is from RNAcentral.
GACGAACGCUGGCGGCGUGCUUAACACAUGCAAGUCGAACGGAAAGGCCCUGCUUUUGUGGGGUGCUCGAGUGGCGAAAGGGUGAGUAACACGUGAGUAACCUGCCCCUGACUUUGGGAUAAAUUCAGGAAACUGGGGCUAAUACCGGAUAGGAGCUCCUGCUGCAUGGUGGGGGUUGGAAAGUUUCGGCGGUUGGGGAUGGACUCGAGGCUUAUCCGCUUGUUGGUGGGGUAGUGGCUUUCCAAGGCAUUGACGGGUAGCCGGCCUGAGAGGGUGACCGGCCACAUUGGGACUGAGAUACGGCCCAGACGCCUACGGGAGGCAGCAGUGGGGAAUAUUGCACAAUGGGCGGAAGCCUGAUGCAGCAACGCCGCGUGCGGGAUGACGGCCUUCGGGGUGUAAACCGCUUUCGCCGGUGACGAAGCGUGAGUGACGGUAAUGGGUAAAGAAGCACCGGCUAACUACGUG